Molecule: ribosomal RNA, 406 nt
Filed under: uncultured bacterium
Lineage: Bacteria
Description: partial 16S ribosomal RNA
Rfam family: Bacterial small subunit ribosomal RNA
Source: RNAcentral
AUUGAACGCUGGCGGCAGGCCUAACACAUGCAAGUCGAACGAGUGGCGGACGGGUGGGUAAUGUCUGGGAAACUGCCUGAUGGACGGGGAUAAAUAAGGGAAACGGUAGCUAAUAGCGCAUACCAUCGGAUGUGCCAAGAUGGGAAUAGGGAGUAGGUGGGGUAAAGGCACACCUAGGCGACGAUCCCUAGCUGGUCGGAGAGGAUGACCAGCCCCACUGGAACUGAGACACGGUCCAGACUCCUACGGGAGUCAGCAGUGGGGAAUAUUGCACAAUGGGCGCAAGCCUGAUGCAGCCAUGCCGCGUGUAUGAAGAAGGCCUUCGGGUUGUAAAGUACUUUCAGCGGGGAGGCGUUACCCGCAGAAGAAGCACCGGCUAACUCCGUGCCAGCAGCCGCGGUAAUUC